AGUGAACGCUGGCGGUAGGCCUAACACAUGCAAGUCGAACGGCAGCACAGUAAGAGCUUGCUCUUACGGGUGGCGAGUGGCGGACGGGUGAGGAAUACAUCGGAAUCUACUUUUUCGUGGGGGAUAACGUAGGGAAACUUACGCUAAUACCGCAUACGACCUACGGGUGAAAGCAGGGCAUCUUCGGACCUUGCGCGAUUGAAUGAGCCGAUGUCGGAUUAGCUAGUUGGCGGGGUAAAGGCCCACCAAGGCGACGAUCCGUAGCUGGUCUGAGAGGAUGAUCAGCCACACUGGAACUGAGACACGGUCCAGACUCCUACGGGAGGCAGCAGUGGGGAAUAUUGGACAAUGGGCACAAGCCUGAUCCAGCCAUACCGCGUGGGUGAAGAAGGCCUUCGGGUUGUAAAGCCCUUUUGUUGGGAAAGAAAAGCAGCAGGUUAAUACCCCGCUGUUCUGACGGUACCCAAAGAAUAAGCACCGGCUAACUUCGUG
Molecule: ribosomal RNA, 492 nt
Filed under: uncultured bacterium
Lineage: Bacteria
Description: partial 16S ribosomal RNA
Rfam family: Bacterial small subunit ribosomal RNA
Source: RNAcentral